UACGUAGGGACCAAGCGUUGUCCGGAAUUAUUGGGCGUAAAGAGCUCGUAGGCGGUUUGUCGCGUCGAAUGUGAAAACCCGGGGCUCAACCCCGGGCCUGCAUUCGAUACGGGCAGACUAGAGUUCGGUAGGGGAGUCUGGAAUUCCUGGUGUAGCGGUGAAAUGCGCAGAUAUCAGGAGGAACACCGGUGGCGAAGGCGGGACUCUGGGCCGAUACUGACGCUGAGGAGCGAAAGCGUGGGGAGCAAACAGG
Molecule: ribosomal RNA, 253 nt
Filed under: uncultured bacterium
Lineage: Bacteria
Description: partial 16S ribosomal RNA
Rfam family: Bacterial small subunit ribosomal RNA
Source: RNAcentral